Danio rerio (zebrafish) is the source of this 2753-nucleotide non-coding RNA. The record is from Ensembl. NCBI's taxonomy places the organism in Eukaryota, Metazoa, Chordata, Actinopteri, Cypriniformes, Danionidae.
CAGCUAUUUAGAAACGCAACUGGCAACGUGGGUCGCAUGAAACGCUGCUGAAAUGUCUGCAAGGUGCGCCUUGCGUGAGGACAUUGUUGUGUGAAUGUUGACAAAAGUGGGACGUGAUAAGUCGUUCUCUUUAGACGAGGUGAUUAAUUCCAGGGUUUUGGUGGGUUGGGAAUGAAGCCUAUUAAGGCUAGCUGGGAUUAGCAUGUGAGCUAGCACACACACACUCUCACACACUUUCCUACUGGCAGACUCGCUCUCACCUCAGACACCUCAUCCUCGUCGCUGCCGGAUCCGGGGCCCGAGGAGAGCACUGCGGCCGCUGUGAGUUUGAAAUCAAGUCUGUCUGUGGUGGGCCCGCCAGCCUCGCCGAACAAGCGGACUUUCUUGCCACCGACGCCGAUCCCGAGGCCCCCGAGUCCGGCUCCUGGUGUAGCUCCAACCCCCAUCCCUAACGCAGGGGAACGCGGAGUCACCGAGUCAAUCUCGUCCUCGAAGCCGUCCGUCAGCAUUGCCGUCCCGGCUACUGCAUCCUGCAUACUUUCUUAAAUAAUACGUCUAUUUGUGAAGGUGUAUCACAUAAUGAGCUGCAAGAUACCUCAGGAUCAGCCCGAAGAUAGAUCAUGGCAUCCAGUUCAAUCUGCGACUCAAACUGAGUGAGAAGCCAUGAAUGCCAGUCUUGGUAAAUGGCCCAUUCGGUCUCAUUCAAAUCUCCGGACUCAAAGAGAUUGGAGGCGAACACGUAUCUGGAGAUUUGCAAAUAUCAAGCUUUUCAGUUAAAUGGCAUUCUUUGGUAGCUGUUUUUCAUGACUCUUUUUAUAUGUACCGGUCACUGUAGACGGAGCGCUCAAAGAACUGGACUGGCUUCUCUGCCUGCUGAAGUUUGGCAGAUGGAGGCUGAAGCUGCGAACGGACUCGACUCAGACAGGCGUAGGUCUGGAAAGUGUAGGACCAGCGACUCGGCUUGUCGUAUAACAUCUGCAGCAGGUUGCCUCCGCUCUUCUGGGAUGUGCUGAGCUCCUAUAUGGUUUAAAGAGGUUUUAUUAUGUUAAAUCAUUGGUAUUAAUAUUUGAGACAGGACUAAGGAGGUGUUUACGCUACAACACCAUUAAAACGGAAAACUCUUUUUCUAUGAUAGAGUUCCUCUAUCUACAUUUUAGCCACUUAAAAUUCUUUUUCUCUUGUUUCUAUGAAAAUUGAACUCUUUUAGAAAUAUUCCCCAAGUGCUGUUGAAUGGGAAGAUUUUUUUAAACACAUUUUUAAACAAUAGUUUUAAUAACUGAUUUGUAAUCACUAAUUUCAUUGGUCUUUGGCAUAGUGGAUAAUAUUUUAUUAGUUCUUUUGCAAGAUGUUGUAUUCAGCUUAAAGUGUUGUUCAAAAGCAUAACUAGGUUAUUAGGGUUAACUACGCAAGUUAGGUAAAGUAGGCAACUUAUUGGACUACAGCGGUUUCUUCUGUAGCCAAAAAACAAUGUCUUACGGGGCUGAUGAUAUUGUUUAUAUUGUUAUUGUUUUUAUAGUCCAACUGUAAGAAUGGGCUAUAUGCACAGACAGACAGACUUUAAAUUUUCAGUGAGGCAGCCCAAGGGCUUCGGGUCAACUGUCUUUCCAUUACAAAAUUGUUACGUUUAAGAUCAGAUUUUUUUUUAAAUCAGCAAUCUUCAUUGCCUGUUAGAAAUGCGAAUUGGACAAGCACAGCCAUGUCUUAAAAACAUGAAUUUAUUUUACCACACUAUUUAUAAUGGAAUUUCUGCGCUAGCCUGUUGCUACUGAUGGCGUCAGUGGUUACAACGAAAUUUAAUCUCGUUUUAUGCUUAAACAAAUAAAUUAAUGCUUAAGUCUAAUUAACUGAAUGUAUUGUACUUGCAUUGCAUCGAUGCUGUAAAAACAGCUUGAAAUUGUCACAUAAAGCUUUCAUUAAAAGUUUAUCAUUGCUUUAAAACUCUAGCUGUGCAUAGAGCCCAUUACGACUUUCUCCAUAAGAAAAACAUAUUAUAGGAAAUACUGUGAAAUGUCUGUUAAACAUCACUUAGGGAAAUCUUUUAAAAAUAAUACAAAUUUCACUGGAGGGGUAAUCAUUUUGCUUUCAACUGUACAUGACUGUGGUGUUUUAGGGAUCUAAAACUGGGUUUUUAAAGUAUUACUUUCUAAAGUUUAUACUAUUAGAAUUUAAAGAAAACAACAGACUAAUUUAUAACUACUAUAUAACAUCUACAUUACUAGAUGCACAGACUAAUGUGCAUUUCUGAUAUACACAUACAAAUUGCAUAAUCAGUCUGUGUAUGCUUCUUUACAAAGUGUCAUUUCCAACUAAUGGCCUGGCAUGAUACAGCGAUUUCAGUCAUGGAUAUUUAAUUUGUAAACAAAAGCUUUCAAAACAACAAAGGAAAACUUGUUAUUUGAACACUUGAAAAAAGUGUUGUUUUAUUUAUUUAAAAUCAAAUCUUAGAUUUACUGUACCUCAUAUUCAUUCUCUGUGGUCUGUACAUUGCACCAUUUCCCUAUGGGCUCUGGUAUGACCUCCCAUUCCUCUGAUGCCCGCUCUAACAAACGUACGAAAGUGGACUUUCCUGCCGCUGUUGAACAGAUAUAAAUGUUUUAAAAUGCAAAACAAAAAAUGUACAACAUGCGGUGCACCUUAUUAUUACAGACUAAAACAAAUCCCCUAGAUAGUUAAAUAUUUCAUGAAUUGGCUGAAACAUCCUUAAAUAAAACUUUGUGUAAGUUUAACAGUUUAAUAAAAUAUCAUGCAGUUGU